This 74-nucleotide transfer RNA is filed under the name Rubrivirga litoralis. RNAcentral describes it as "tRNA-His". It matches the Rfam family "tRNA". Rfam says of the family: Transfer RNA (tRNA) molecules are approximately 80 nucleotides in length. Their secondary structure includes four short double-helical elements and three loops (D, anti-codon, and T loops). The record is from RNAcentral. Lineage: Bacteria; Pseudomonadati; Rhodothermota; Rhodothermia; Rhodothermales; Rubricoccaceae. RNAcentral also lists the same sequence under 1 other name.
GCGGCUAUAGCUCAGUUGGUUAGAGCGCCUGGUUGUGGUCCAGGAGGUCGUGGGUUCAAUUCCCACUAGUCGCC